Molecule: ribosomal RNA, 119 nt
Organism: Oncorhynchus kisutch (coho salmon)
Lineage: Eukaryota; Metazoa; Chordata; Actinopteri; Salmoniformes; Salmonidae
Source: Ensembl
GCUUACGACCACACCGGCCUGAGUAUGCCUGAUCUCGUCUGAUCUCGGAAGCUAAGCAGGGUCGGGCCUGGUUAGUACUUGGAUGGGAGACCGCCUGGGAAUACCAGGUGCUGUAAGCU